This 2561-nucleotide unclassified non-coding RNA is filed under the name Acanthaster planci (crown-of-thorns starfish). Its description in RNAcentral is "anoctamin-4-like, transcript variant X1". Lineage: Eukaryota; Metazoa; Echinodermata; Asteroidea; Valvatida; Acanthasteridae. The record is from RNAcentral.
GAGCCAGCUGCAUAUAUAUAUACGCAUGUACCUCGUCAACUCAAGGCUCGAUAUGUGCAUUUAACGUCGACGGAGAACCACCUGUGUACACCGAAGGACUGAAGAAUUAAAUUAUUCUAAAUAAUUUUAAGCAGGCAGCAAAACAUGGACGACUUGUACCCAGAUUAUGAUGAUACAUAUGGUGGUAAGCCACUCAAACUUCGCCCACUGCCAUCACUUGAGCAAAACGGCACAGCCGAAUACAAAUCCAAGAAGAGGAAGAAGAAACGCAAGGAUAAAAAAUCACCCAGCAAGGCCAACUCUGCAACCCAGACGAUCAUUCCUAAGAGGAUAGACUAUAUCCUGGUGUAUCCCAAGGAAGAUGAAAAUGAUUUUAAGGAUAAUGAUGACAUUGAGGACUUUAAGAACAGGAUGGAACUGAGGAGGAGGUUCCAUAGAGCAGCCAGGGAGAAGGAAGGGCUGGAGAUCAGAGAGAGGGACAUGGGAGAGAAGAUUUAUGUCUUGAUCCAUUGUCCAUUCAAGAGAAUGUGCCUCGAGGCAGAGGAGGUUAAACUGGAAAUGCCUCUGGAAGGGGCAGCUAUUCCCCCAAAGCAAGCGAAUGGAUACUUAGAUCAACUCAAGUCUCUCUUUGUAACAGAUGAUGAAGUUGACUUUGUGAGUGCACCCUUCAUUGUUCAGAAGAGGGCGGUAUUCAAGGGAAUUGACCAACCAGAUACAUUCUUCUCCCCAGCAUUGCGUUCACUCCUGGUUCACAACAUCUUGAUCAACAUUGAUGUACGAGAGCAAGGGGAUGAGAACACUGACUUCAGAGACUCCAUGAGACGAAAAGGUCUGCCAUUUAUGCUGAUGAAGAAAGUUUAUACAGACAGAUUCAUCAUGCAUGAGGAAUCUCCUUAUGAAUUGGAGGAAGAUGAGGAGACAAGGGAGAUACAGAGAAGUCUCAGCAAGGAGCGGGGAGACUUCAACCCCAACUCUGACCCUAGAGAGGCAUUGCAUAGAACCUGGUGCCGAUGGUGGAAGUUCCAACCUCUCUGGAAAAUCCGUAACUACUUUGGGGAGAAGAUUGCCUUCUACUUUGCCUGGGCUGGUGAAAUGGCCAGCCUUCUCUGGCUACCUGUGCUGCUUGGCAUUGCUAUCUGGGCCGAUGGAUUAUAUCUCAGCAUCAAGGACAACAUGGAAUACAAUGAGGGCUUAGCUGAGAUGGCCAGACAGCGAGAUGAAUUGAUUGAUGCUGUCAGAGAGAAUAUCACCUUGUACAACAGGACAGAAGACAGGUUACUCUACCAGAACUUAACUGCACGUGCUCAGGAGGAAGACUCCUUCUUUGGCAGCAUUGCUGAUAAGUCUCUUGAGAUUCUAGAUGUCUUUCAGAAAUCAUUUGAUUCAGCAGUUACGCCGUACUUUGCUCUCGUCAUUUGUCUUUGGGGAACUCUUUUCCAAGAAUGCUGGAAGAGGAAACAUGCUCGUUUGGCUUAUGAGUGGGAUGUGUCCAGUUACCAUUUUACUGAGCCUGAUCGCCCAGAAUUUUAUGGAACCAAAGAACGGGAGGAUCCUGUGUCCAGCCUGCCAGAUUGGUACUACCCAUUCUACAAACAAUUUCUCAAGUUCAUGGCAUCUUUUGGCAUUCUCAUCUUCAUGGCGUUGCUUGUCAUAGCUAGUGCACUGGGUGUUAUCAUCUAUCGCGUCAUCAUUGGAGUCUUAUUGGCAGAUUCCUCCACCCUGCCAAGGAUCUUGUUAUCUACAGUUGCAGCCACUCUUCUCAACUCCAUCUCUAUUAUGAUCUUAGGAAGAUUGUAUGACUACAUCGCAUACAAGUUGACAGAUUGGGAGAAUCAUCGGACCCAGAGCCAGUAUGACGAUGCCUUGAUCAUGAAGCUUUUUGCUUUCCAGUUUGUCAACAGCUAUGCCUCACUCUUCUACAUCGCAUUCUUCAGAGGGCUGACUGCUGAGGACGGCAUACUUUACCUGGGUAAACAAUAUGAAGAUAGCUGUGGGGAUGACAACAUCUGCAUGCCUCUGCUAUCUCUUCAGGUCUUUGUGCUUAUGAUCGUCAAGCCCUUUCCUAAAUUCCUGAAAGACAUUAUCAUACCUUGGCUCAAGAAAGUCUUGAAGAAAUGCUGCUGUUGCAGAGGGAAGAAUAAAGUGGCAGAUGUGGAGGCCAGUAAAAUGGAGAAAGCUGAUUUCAUGAGGAAGGAAGGAGCCAAGCCACCUCUGGGAAACUUCACACUGGGAGAGUUCACUGAGAAGACCAUCCAGUAUGGCUUCCUCAUGCUGUUUUCCUGUGCCUUACCCUUGGCUCCAUUCAUAGCUAUCCUAGUGCUCUUAGUGGAUAUCAGAGUGGAUGCAACACGUAUGUUGUGGAUGAACAGACGUCCUAUUGCCUUCAUAUCUGGUGGUAUAGCAUAUUGUGUUGUCAGUCAAGUUCUUCAUUGCUUACAUCAUCCCAGACACUCCUUCUGACAUCAGCCUAGCAAAGAGAAGACAACGCUACCAAAUUGCCCAGAUCCUGGACAAGGCAGAGAACCAAGGCCCUAUUAAAAUCUCAUGUUUCAACAGAUUGA